Molecule: ribosomal RNA, 253 nt
Filed under: uncultured bacterium
Lineage: Bacteria
Description: partial 16S ribosomal RNA
Rfam family: Bacterial small subunit ribosomal RNA
Source: RNAcentral
UACGAAGGGGGCUAGCGUUGUUCGGAUUUACUGGGCGUAAAGCGCACGUAGGCGGAUUGUUAAGUCAGGGGUGAAAUCCUGGAGCUCAACUCCAGAACUGCCUUUGAUACUGGCAAUCUCGAGUCCGGAAGAGGUGAGUGGAACUCCUAGUGUAGAGGUGGAAUUCGUAGAUAUUAGGAAGAACACCAGUGGCGAAGGCGGCUCACUGGCCCAUAACUGACGCUGAGGCACGAAAGCGUGGGGAGCAAACAGG